AACGAGCGCUGGCGGCAUGCCUAACACAUGCAAGUCGAACGAUUGCCUUCGGGUGAUAGUGGCGCACGGGUGCGUAACGCGUGGGAAUCUGCCCUUAGGUUCGGAAUAACAGCUGGAAACGGCUGCUAAUACCGGAUGAUAUCGCGAGAUCAAAGAUUUAUCGCCUGAGGAUGAGCCCGCGUUGGAUUAGGUAGUUGGUGGGGUAAAGGCCUACCAAGCCGACGAUCCAUAGCUGGUCUGAGAGGAUGAUCAGCCACACUGGGACUGAGACACGGCCCAGACUCCUACGGGAGGCAGCAGUGGGGAAUAUUGGACAAUGGGCGCAAGCCUGAUCCAGCAAUGCCGCGUGAGUGAUGAAGGCCCUAGGGUUGUAAAGCUCUUUUACCCGGGAAGAUAAUGACUGUACCGGGAGAAUAAGCCCCGGCUAACUCCGUG
RNAcentral lists this ribosomal RNA (435 nucleotides) under uncultured bacterium. Its description in RNAcentral is "partial 16S ribosomal RNA". It matches the Rfam family "Bacterial small subunit ribosomal RNA", at positions 29 to 507 of the family's 1533-position model. The record is from RNAcentral.